CUUGUACCUUUCUGGUAUGUAUGUUUCGAGCUAUAGCUAUUAUAUGUAUCUGUCCGAUUGCUUUAUGUUGGACAGGUGCCUCUAAGAAAAUAGCUUAGAGUGCUUUACUGUAAACCUUUUCCAUUAGGAAACGGUGAAAAGAUUCUGCUACUUAUAUAUAGUGGAUGUAGCGUUGGUGGUGCAACUGAAUCUUCUCAUUACGUUUUUUCAACGACGGUAAACGAGAUAUUUCUUGCUCAGAAGAAAGGCCUGAGGAUGGAAGACAAUCUUACGGAGCAAAUGCCCGACAAAGUUCCACUGUUGAUUGCCAAAUUUUGUGCAGAACAGCAGCAUGUGGAAACUAAUCUCAGAGCGUCCAUUGCUGGAAUGUCUCUUAUGUUCUCUCUCCAUGAUGAAGAUGAGGGGAAUUUUCAGGAGUUGAAUGGUGAUCAGCGUUGGCUUUGAUUAUCAUCGUCUAGGUGCAGGAUGCAGGGAUAUAUCUUUAAUGGUGCAGAUAUGUCCUCGAGAGUUGAUGUUUGAAGGAACAAUGAAACACAUUGAGGUGAAUGAAUAGGUGAGUCAUCGAGAAAAUGGCAUGUUCUUUGGUGACGAGAGAAUGAAGUAUGGGAUACGUGCCCAAAGUGCCUGUAUUCGGCGGCAGCAAGCGGAAGUACUAGGCACUCUUCCUCCGCGCGCCUCUUAUAUGGAUGUUCCUGAACAUGAUUUGGUUGGGGAAUCUGCUCCAAAAGUUCCAUUUGCAAAGCAGAAUGAUGUGAUCAGAAUAAUGCCGCUUAGAACUUCGGGACUUGCUCGUUUCCAAUUAGUCAGCAAUUCUUGCCUGUCUGAUGGCAGCUUGAGAGGGCCAGUGUCAUUCUCAUCAUCACUACCACCAUUUGCUCUUUGGGUUUACUUCCGGCUUAUCCUCAAGCUGCUGGCUUUCGUGAAGGAAAUGGAGAAGUUUCUCUAAGUAAAUGACUUCACGAAUAACUUUCAAUCCGAAGAUAAGCAAGUAUCUCCUGAGGAUUGGAACAGAAGGCCUAGAACUUGCAUUGCAACCACAUCUUGGAGGGAGAGACUACAGGGUGUCCUAUCGGUCUUUGAUGCGAGAGUAUUCUCUGCUUUCCUUUUGAUGGCAGAGAUGAUGUAGGGAGCUAUUUUGAUUGGGAUCAGUUUAUUGCUCUGGACUUUUAUUCUCCUUUUUCUACAAGAGAAGGGCAGGGUGAUAGUUUGAACUUUGAUACCCUUCUGCAAUUCAAAUUCCAAGAAGAGGUUUUCUUCAAUGGUGACAACUUCUGUGCAUCUGAGUUCCUGUAACCUUGACUUGUAUCUAGUCAGUACUGCAUGUGAGGUGGCUGAUGAUGGUUGAUGAUGGGGGUGAGUCUCGCUGUACUGCUAAAGGGUGUAAAUUUUCUUCUCUGAAGAUUCUGCUUGUUGCCAACUACACACCUUCUUCCAUCCUCAGAAUGAUUUGGCAGGAGGGUCCUGUUACUGGUGCAUGGGUUGCCGAGAGAGCAAAGUCUUUAGCUGUUUCAGAGGAGAGGAGCAGAAAUAAAUUCGUGGGAAAA
Molecule: long non-coding RNA, 1544 nt
Organism: Syzygium oleosum
Lineage: Eukaryota; Viridiplantae; Streptophyta; Magnoliopsida; Myrtales; Myrtaceae
Exons: 2
Source: RefSeq, a predicted model, not a curated record